This 503-nucleotide ribosomal RNA is filed under the name uncultured bacterium. RNAcentral's name for it is "partial 16S ribosomal RNA". It matches the Rfam family "Bacterial small subunit ribosomal RNA", at positions 30 to 523 of the family's 1533-position model. The record is from RNAcentral.
AUUGAACGCUGGCGGCAGGCUUAACACAUGCAAGUCGAACGGGGUGAUGGUGCUUGCACUAUCACUUAGCGGCGGACGGGUGAGUAAUGCUUAGGAAUCUGCCUAUUAGUGGGGGACAACAUCUCGAAAGGGAUGCUAAUACCGCAUACGUCCUACGGGAGAAAGCAGGGGAUCACUUGUGACCUUGCGCUAAUAGAUGAGCCUAAGUCUGAUUAGCUAGUUGGGGGGGUAAAGGCCUAACAAGGCGACGAUCUGUAGCGGGUCUGAGAGGAUGAUCCGCCACACUGGGACUGGGACACGACCCAGAAUCCUACGAGAGGCAGCAGUGGGAAAUAUUGGACAAUGGGGGGAACCCUGAUCCAGCCAUGCCGCGUGUGUGAAGAAGGCCUUAUGGUUGUAAAGCACUUGAAGCGAGGAGGAGGCUCUUUUGGUUAAUACCCAAAAUGAGUUGACGUUACUCGCAGAAUAAGCACCGGCUAACUCUGUGCCAGCCGCCGCGGUAA